AGGCUGCAGGGGAGUCUCAUGUUGUGAGACUGAGGAGAGCGUCUCUGGAGUUGGUUCUCUGCAGGCGAGACUCGGAUAUAGGAACUAACAAGACGGACACAUCUUUCUGUCAAAAGACUUCCAUAGGAAAACCUUUUGGUUGGAAAUGCACUGGGGACUGGAUACAAAGCGCGGGCUGGUCAGGUGGAGACGGGGUGCCGCUGCGGCAUGACACGGAGCUGUUCGCCUACGGUGGCUGUGGACCUGUGGACCCCGUUGAAGGAGCAGCCCUGCGCCGUGCAGUUGGUGAAGUCGAACAGAUCGCGGACCAGCUCCCGGCACCUGUCUGAGUCGGGCUUCCCCACAAAGCCUCAUGCCGGCGGUGGCCCCCAGGAACAGCGGUGUUUUCUGGCGUUUCUCCACUGGGAUUUCUUUUGUGACCUUCUGCAUGCAUCCCGUGAAGGACGCCCAAGUAUCUUUGUCCUUCUCCGCGUCCACCAACAUGUCGGAGAUGGCGUUGCCUGGCGACGCGAAGACAAGCUCCCAUCAACGUUCGACACCCGGUGACACUUUCUAAUUUUCCGCUCUUGCUAAACAUGCUACAAUUUGUAUCUUUCUCCAGAUUAAAGCCAUGACGAUC
Molecule: long non-coding RNA, 619 nt
Organism: Gadus chalcogrammus (walleye pollock)
Lineage: Eukaryota; Metazoa; Chordata; Actinopteri; Gadiformes; Gadidae
Exons: 3
Source: RefSeq, a predicted model, not a curated record